GUGCCAGCCGCCGCGGUAAUACCGGCAGCCCGAGUGAUGGCCGAUCUUAUUGGGCCUAAAGCGUCCGUAGCCGGCCGGACAAGUCCGUUGGGAAAUCCACGCGCCUAACGCGUGGGCGUUCAGCGGAAACUGUCCGGCUUGGGGCCGAAAGAUCCGAGGGGUACGUCCGGGGUAGGAGUGAAAUCCCGUAAUCCUGGACGGACCGCCGAUGGCGAAAGCACGUCGCGAGAACGGAUCCGACAGUGAGGGACGAAAGCUAGGGUCUCGAACCGGAUUAGAAACCCUGGUAUCC
RNAcentral lists this ribosomal RNA (292 nucleotides) under uncultured bacterium. Its description in RNAcentral is "partial 16S ribosomal RNA". It matches the Rfam family "Archaeal small subunit ribosomal RNA", at positions 455 to 746 of the family's 1478-position model. The record is from RNAcentral.